CGAGCGAGAUAAUUAUCGCCUAUCAAUUCAAAAAAAAAAAAUCGCCUAUCCGUUCCUGUCUCCGGCCUCCCCUUCUCCGAGCAGAGCAUCAUCUGAGCGGCGAGCAGCAGACUGGAACGGGAUGGGAAGCGCUGGAACGCCGCUCUCGCACCCGCGGCCGCAUCUGCACUCCGGCGGCGUCUACAUCAGCCAGAGCCGGACCCUCCCGCGCGCGCGCAACCUGCCACUAUUAUCUCUCCCUGCCGCGGCGCCCGGGCCCCAGCGCGGCCGCCGCCGGUGCCUCCGCUGCGCUGCUGUCAACGGGGACGGCAGGCCCCGGGAGGAGGGCCCACCGCCGCCUAGGGAGGAGUAUCCGUCCAGCGGCCUCGGCGCCGCACUCGAGGACCCGGCUUCAGGACCUCCUGGGGUGCAAAUGGGUCGGAUACUUACUGACCAACCAACCGCCAAGGAGGUACGGGUAGAAAUCGAAGCAAAAAAUCUGGAAAAUGGUUCGUUUGGAGGCCUGUCACAAGAAGAAGACCAGAGUGCUCUGUAUAAUUUUCUUUAUCCAAGCAAAGAGUUACUUCCUGAUGAUAAGGAGAUGAGUAUAUUUGAUCAUCUAGAAGAGCUCCGUGAGAGGAUAUUCAUCUCAGUUUUGGCUGUUGGAGCUGCGAUACUUGGCUGUUUUGCUUUUUCAAAAGAUUUGAUUCUGCUUCUAGAAGCGCCUGUGACUGUUCAGGGUGUUCGGUUUUUGCAGCUCUCCCCUGGGGAAUUUUUCUUUACAACAUUAAAGGUCUCUGGUUAUUGUGGCCUUUUACUUGGAAGUCCUAUCAUUUUGUAUGAGAUCAUUGCAUUUGUUCUCCCAGGUUUAACAAGGGAUGAGCGGAAAUUCCUAGGGCCUAUUGUUUUGGGUUCUUCUGUUCUAUUCUACCUUGGCAUUUUCUUCUCCUACACAGUUCUUAGCCCUGCUGCAUUGAACUUCUUCGUGAACUAUGCAGACGGGGCAGUGGAAUCGUUAUGGUCAAUAGACCAGUACUUUGAAUUCGUACUUGUGCUUAUGUUCAGCACAGGUUUAUCCUUUCAGGUUCCUGUUAUCCAGCUAUUGUUGGGACAAGUUGGAUUGGUUUCUGGAGACCAAAUGCUUUCAAUCUGGAGAUAUGUUGUUGUUGGUGCUGUUGUUGCUGCUGCGGUGCUUACACCUUCGACGGAUCCAUUGACACAGAUGCUCCUGGCAGGUCCUCUGCUUGGUUUGUACUUGGGUGGUGCAUGGAUGGUCAAGCUAAUUGGGCGAUAGCUGGUCCAUGUAUAUCAGAGAAUUGUCAUUCAUGAGUGUAGCUGGCUGGCAUCAUAGACGAGGUAAUCUCAAUAAUUUGGCUGCUAGCAUCACUUGGCCUACCCAGCUCCCUCCGGAUUGGAUGGUCGAGUGGGAUCCCUCCUCGGUCGGCGAGGAUAGGGGUUAUUGAUGUCAUGAUCGGCUUCGUCAUGAUAUCGUGUAUCGACAUUUAGACUUCUGCUGAACUUUAUCUUCGUUGUUUGAAACCGUGCAAACUUUAUCUGAAUUUCGCAAAACUCUGAUAUAAUAAUUGUUAACUAUGUUGAUGAGAUGGGAAUGUUA
Molecule: RNA transcript, 1594 nt
Organism: Setaria italica (foxtail millet)
Lineage: Eukaryota; Viridiplantae; Streptophyta; Magnoliopsida; Poales; Poaceae
Gene name: sec-independent protein translocase protein TATC, chloroplastic
Exons: 6
Source: RefSeq, a predicted model, not a curated record